UAACUGCUCAAUAAAUAUUCUUCAAGUGGAUUAACUCACCUGCUUCAUUGAAUGACAUGAUAGGCCCUGUUUAUCUAUGAUGAAGCUAUACUUUUCAAGGCUUAAAGCUCCCCUUAGAAUCCCUCUUUGCCUGCUUCUAAUGUGCUCAGAAGAAAGCACAUACAUAUACCUGUACAUAUAUACAUAUACAUAGACACAGAAAUUAAAGGAGAUACAAAUAAAUGUAAAGGCAUCCUAUGUUUAUGUAUUAGAAGAAUCAAUCUUGUUAAAAUGUCUACACUACUCAAAGCAAUCUAUAGAUUCAGUGCAAGCUCUAUUACCAUUCCAAUGACAUUUUUUAGAGAAAUAGAAAAAGUAAUCCUAACAUUCAUAUGAAACCAGGAAAGACCUGAAGAGUCAAAGCAAUUUUGAGUAAGAACAAAGCUGGAAGUUCCUGAUUUCAAAAUAUGUUACAAAGCUACAGCAAUCAAAAUAGUAUGGUACUGUGGCAUAAAAAACAAA
This 501-nucleotide long non-coding RNA is filed under the name Pan troglodytes (chimpanzee). RNAcentral's name for it is "long non-coding RNA NONPTRT014295". Lineage: Eukaryota; Metazoa; Chordata; Mammalia; Primates; Hominidae. The record is from RNAcentral.